Molecule: small RNA, 29 nt
Filed under: Bombyx mori (domestic silkworm)
Lineage: Eukaryota; Metazoa; Arthropoda; Insecta; Lepidoptera; Bombycidae
Description: ovarian small RNA-9588
Source: RNAcentral
UUCCGAUACACUCUGAAGGCUGCAAGGAU